GUACAGGAUGGACCCGCGUCUGAUUAGCUAGUUGGUAAGGUAACGGCUUACCAAGGCGACGAUCAGUAGCCGACCUGGGAGGGUGAUCGGCCACAUUGGAACUGAGACACGGUCCAAACUCCUACGGGAGGCAGCAGUGGGGAAUAUUGCACAAUGGGCGAAAGCCUGAUGCAGCAACGCCGCGUGAGGGAUGAAGGCCUUCGGGUCGUAAAACUCUGUCCUCAAGGAAGAUAAUGACGGUACUUGAGGAGGAAGCCCCGGCUAACUACGUGCCAGCAGCCGCGGUAA
RNAcentral lists this ribosomal RNA (288 nucleotides) under Clostridioides difficile. Its description in RNAcentral is "partial 16S ribosomal RNA". It matches the Rfam family "Bacterial small subunit ribosomal RNA", at positions 218 to 523 of the family's 1533-position model. Lineage: Bacteria; Bacillati; Bacillota; Clostridia; Peptostreptococcales; Peptostreptococcaceae. The record is from RNAcentral.